GAUGAACGCUAGCUACAGGCUUAACACAUGCAAGUCGAGGGGAAACGAUAUUGGAAGCUUGCUUCUGAUAGGCGUCGACCGGCGCACGGGUGAGUAACGCGUAUCCAACCUGCCCAUCACUUGGGGAUAACCUUGUGAAAGUAAGACUAAUACCCAAUGACGUCUCUAGAAGACAUCUGAAAGAGAUUAAAGAUUUAUCGGUGAUGGAUGGGGAUGCGUCUGAUUAGCUUGUUGGCGGGGUAACGGCCCACCAAGGCGACGAUCAGUAGGGGUUCUGAGAGGAAGGUCCCCACAUUGGAACUGAGGCACGGUCCAAACUCCUACGGGAGGCAGCAGUGAGGAAUAUUGGUCAAUGGACGAGAGUCUGAACCAGCCAAGUAGCGUGCAGGAUGACGGCCCUAUGGGUUGUAAACUGCUUUUAUAAGGGAAUAAAGUGGGAGUCGUGACUCUUUUUGCAUGUACCUUAUGAAUAAGGACCGGCUAAUCCGUGCCAGCAGCCG
RNAcentral lists this ribosomal RNA (500 nucleotides) under uncultured bacterium. Its description in RNAcentral is "bacterial SSU rRNA". It matches the Rfam family "Bacterial small subunit ribosomal RNA", at positions 28 to 517 of the family's 1533-position model. The record is from RNAcentral.